This 524-nucleotide ribosomal RNA is filed under the name uncultured Chloroflexota bacterium. Its description in RNAcentral is "bacterial SSU rRNA". It matches the Rfam family "Bacterial small subunit ribosomal RNA", at positions 355 to 895 of the family's 1533-position model. Lineage: Bacteria; Bacillati; Chloroflexota. The record is from RNAcentral.
UGAGGAAUAUUGCCCAAUGGGGGAAACCCUGAGGCAGCAACGCCGCGUGGAUGAUGACGGCCUUCGGUUGUAAAUCCUUUCUGGGGACGAACAAUGACGGUACCCCAGGAAUAAGUCCCGGCUAACUACGUGCCAGCAGCCGCGGUAAAACGUAGGGGACGAGCGUUAUCCGGAUUUACUGGGCAUAAAGCGCCCGCAGGCGGUUGGGUAAGUUGGCCGUGAAAGCUCCUGGCUUAACUGGGAGAGGUCGGUUGAGACUGCCUGACUUGAGGCCGAGAGAGGAGAGCGGAAUUCCCGGUGUAGUGGUGGAAUGCGUAGAUAUCGGGAGGAACACCAGUGGCGUAGGCGGCUCUCUGGCUCGGAACUGACGCUGAGGGGCGAAAGCGUGGGGAGCGAACGGGAUUAGAUACCCCGGUAGUCCACGCCGUAAACGUUGGAUACUGGGUGUCGGGGGGUGACGAACUCCCUCGGUGCCGAAGCAAACGCGAUAAGUAUCCCGCCUGGGGGACUACGGCCGCAAGGUU